This 21068-nucleotide long non-coding RNA is filed under the name Selaginella moellendorffii. RNAcentral describes it as "long non-coding RNA (SMOE_LNC001376)". Lineage: Eukaryota; Viridiplantae; Streptophyta; Lycopodiopsida; Selaginellales; Selaginellaceae. The record is from RNAcentral.
CUCCUUGACGCACAGCUGGUGCCCCCGACGGUUGUAGAGCUUGCAACCUUCCCUGAGUGGCUUCUUGCAAGUGUGGCAAGAGUUGAAGUCGAGCGCAACACUUUUUGGACCUGGGCAGACAUAGGAAGCAAACCCACAUUCGAGCGUGCAGGCUUUACCAGGUCCUGAGACGCAUACUGAUUUGCCAUGCCCCAAGUCCAUGCAACCUUGAGGAAUGGUGCAACAAGUAGCGCAGCUGCCUGGCUUCCAAGGAUGGACAGUGCCUCCACAAAUCUCCACGGCAUCCUUCAAGCAGGAGUUGUCAUCACCAUUUGGCAGUGGUGCACCAGUCUUUAAAUUGUAGAGAUGACAGCCAUUCGAAGGCUCCUUAUCCGGUGGGAGCACAGAAAUUGGAAUUCGGUUAGUUCCUCGGGAUGGGCAGACUUUGAUUUUUGGUGGAUGACAAAUUAAGGGGCAAGGACGAAAAGGGGAGGUGCCACCAAGACAAACUGGACUGCCAGUUCCAGGCUCGAGAUAUAUGCAUCCAGCCUCAAGCGCACAGCAACUGGAGCAUCCGUCGAGAGUGACAACAGCAUCACUACAAACCUGGAGACGAUGGCUGCUGGCUGCAAAAUCAUCUUGACAAGGCAUUCAAGAAGUCAGUCCUGAAAGAAAGAAUCAAAACUUGGAGAUCAACCUGCAGAUAUCAGAAGUAGCUGAAAGCUUAGGAUAGUGAGGAACAAGAAUGAAGCUGCCAUGUUGUUGUGGUGCUGAACCUCGGGCUGUUUGGAUUUAUAGUCAGACAGAGUCUUAUCUAUGUGAUGACUUGGCAUCUGAUCGAUCUCUACAAAAUCUCACGUUUUUUCCGGACUUGAAAGUUGCGUAUGGAUUGUACUGAUCGGGGGCCACCUAGCCUGACUCUCUGUGGUGAAACAACUCAUAUACUUCCAGAGAAGUGUCCCAUCAGUAUUUUGAUUAGGGCGACGUGGCCGGAAUGAAUUUCCACGUUGGUUAGCGGCAUGCCACGUCAUAAUAGACGAAGCGGCCAUGGCAGGGCUGCUUGGCCAUGGCGCUUCUUUCAACGUGGCCAGGCUGGGAGCACUAGGGUAGCAGCUCACAGCGCUGCCACAGUAAUGUGCUAUCCGAUCGAUCGAUCUUGGUCUCGGGUUUAGCUUCUAGAGGUUUCCGGCUUCGCCACAGCUAGUGGUUUCUUCCUCCGGCCUAUGGCACCGCUAGAAAAUCCUCCAAACCGACUCAGCCCUUGAAGAACAGAUCGAGAUUUAGGAGGAACAAGAGAUUGCACGAAAGGUCUUGCGUUGGGAGCUCGACCGGUGCCUAGCUGCUCUAUGGAAGAUUUGCCGUUCAAACGGAGAGUGCUCAUGAGAUUGAGCUCCAUCUAUAAAUUCAAUCCUUUAUGAGAUAUGAGUGCCACGUCUGCAUUUGACAAGGUGAUGCCGCGAUUCAAAUUUCUGGCGCUUGGAUGCCCGGUGCCUCAGCAUGGGUAAUACCAUAUGUAUUGAAAUAUCACAUAUUGAAUGAUUUUGGAACAGCUUAUGCACAACAAGGGAACUCUUUUGAUUAUAUAUACACAUUUGUGGGCUCAGCUGGAGGCAUUUACAAUAUACAAAUUGAUUUCCUUGUCCUAAUUUUAAUCUUGGAUUCCCCUUCUUUUGCCAAUGUCAAAAUUACUUUUGCCUGUUGAACUUUACUAGACCAAAGACAAGAAAUCCAUUUGCAUCCAUUGCAUUGUGGUUUAAUGCAUUUAGUUGUUGGGUGUUACAUGUAUACUUAUUCUUUCAAAGCCUAGAAAAAAAAAAUCAUUUGCUAUAAUCAUACUCCUUUACCUUUUUCUAGAAUAUAAUCUAAACCUUAAACCCUAAACCCGUGGCAAAAUUGAAGGCAACAGGUCUUGUGUGACUUUAAGAAUUGCAUGCAGUAACAACUGGAUCAAUCAAGUGGUUGAGAUCAAAAUCUUCAAAUUCUAUAAUAAGCCAAAACAUGAGACUCAUGAGGUAUUGGCUUGUAGUAUUUAUUUCCAAAGGCAAUUACUGAAGCCUGGUGAUUCAAGGCAAAAAAUUGAUGCCCUUUUGGCCCUUUUUGAGCCAUUUUACAUGGGUGUUUUUAAAAAUGCCCUUUAAAUAUUAGGUAAAAAUUACCAAAAUUUCUUUUACGUGAAGGAUGCGCUUCUAUAUAGCCCUUUUGUUCAAGGGCAAUAAAAUAAAAUAUUCUUUCAGAAUAUUUUUCUCUUUCUUAAUGGACAAUGAAUAUUCCGAAUUAAAUGAGCAAGGAGUCUCGAUGACUCUCUCAAUUGAUUAGAAUUUGGAUCGCAUGCCAUAGUUGUCUUGUUUAAGUUUUACACAGAAGAAAUUGAAAGGGCAACAAGAGUCAUCAUUCAGUUCUCAUACUGUACAUUCAAUCUUUUCUAUUUCCAUGCAUUUACUUGUAGAUCUUAGGAAAAAAGUACAUCCUUUCUUCCCUUUCUAGGCCCCCAUUGCCACAGCUCGCCAUGAUUGUCCAGAUCUGCGGUAGAAUCCAGUGCGGGAUUGAUUGCUCAGGCUCUUUAGCCCGGGAUUUCUUCGACUGGAUGGCUUCACCUCUCGCAAUACCAUUGAUGCAUGAGUGCGUGGAAGCAAAUGUUCCAGCGGUGCUGUUGGCAUGAUCGUCGUAUUGGAGGGCUUGGUUCUCAUCCACCAGCUGAGAAUCUGGGCAGGCAGGGCAGAUCGAGCUCCCACAGCUCCAGAAAAUUGGUAAGAUAUCUUCUAACUUAUCAAUCGACGUGCAAAACUCAUGAAGCUCCUCUUGCAGGAAGGAACAAGCCGAGCUUCCACUAUCUCGCCGCCGAAUCGACAGCCAACUGCGACUAGUUCUAGCGGAGGAAAGCCUUGGUACGUUCUUCUUUUAAACUGGGAACUGACAAAGUUUCUAUCCAGUUCUUAGUUCCAGACGCUAGACUUCGAUGCAAUGAAAGAGAGAAGAGAGAAUCUGGACAGUCUUAAGCCCAAGAUCGUUGACAUGGUUGUCAAGAAGAUGAAGCAUAACACAUAUCUCUCGCUCGAUUUCUUUACGCUGGCCAUGAGAAUCUCCAGCUUCCGGCACGACGUGGUGAUGGUCAUGAUCCUUGGAGUCGAUGGCAACUAUCUUGGUGAUCACAGACAUGCCCCGUGGAAACGAUCUCUAUGUGAAGACGAGGAAGCUGUGGCCGCCACAUCGUCCGAGACAGCAGAAAGACCCCCAAGUAGGCUUGGAUAGAUUCAGCAUGGUAGCAGUCCAACACCAGCUCGGGAGGAAGACUUAAACAGCCUACAAGAAGGAAAGCAACUCCGUGGAUCUGAUCAUGAGUCUUUUAUAGGCAACAACACGAGCAAUGCGUGAAGGGGGCCAGAGAAGCUAUUGAGAAGUACUCAUUAGGUGCUGGUCGACCUCAAGUUCUUACUAAGCCAGGAGUUGGAUGCUCUCCAUGAGACUCGUGACCACGUACUGAGUCGCUUACUUGAAAUGGAUGGCGGGAUGCAGAAUCCGAAUCCCGAUUAUGUGCAGCGCGCUGGACAAUGUUCCCAGUGCCAGCCUAGACACACUGGGAUAACCUGUGCUCAUUGUGCUAUUGAUCUCAUGUUUCAGGUACAAUCUACUUCUUUCUUGUGUGGAUAAACAGAAAUAUGCAAAUAGGCGAUUUUACUUGACGUCCCGAGCAGCUGAAUUAGAUGGCAUUGUUACUGCAGAAGACGCCUUUGUUUCUCAAGUACGUUCACAGGCAGGAGAAAAGGAGCAGCAGUAGCUGCGGUAAGGCAACUUCUUUUUGUUUUUCUAACUUUUUUCUUUUGUUUUUCUUUCCUUCGAGCUUAAAUAUUUCUUUUCACAGGUUACGCACAGAUGUUCUGAAACGGAAAUGGUUUUAAAAAUUUUACUUGCAUACAUGAAAGCGGAAACGAACCUUGAGGAGGAUGAGAUAGAAGCCGCAAAGAAGCACCUCGAGUACCUUGAAGUAAACACUCCUGUGCUUAUUUGUAAGUCUGUUUGACAAACCGUGUCAAUUCAGGCAUUGCGUAGCGAAUAUGCAGCGGCGAGACGCUUGACAACAGCACAACAAUUAGUUCUAACUGCAUUGGACGAGCUGAGCAUGUCGACAACAAGGCUAUGUUUGCUUGCAAGGUGCCAAGGCUGCAGACGGCAAUCCUUUUGGUGAUGAAGGCUACGAGAUAGCAAUUAGAAACGCGGCGCUUACCAACGAAAAAUUUGUUGCUGUUGAGAAUCUAUCUCGUGUGAAGAGGCAGCUCAGAUACUUGAAGGUAUUAGGCUUAAGUUUUCUUCUAUUCGCAGCUCCUCUCAUUUCCGGAUUGCAGGGUCUAAGGAAUAAGAAGGACGAGGGGCAUAACAGUUUGGAAGGAGAAAUUUGCCCAGUUUGCCACGAUGGCAUAGAAUCUGGAGCAAUGGUCCUUCCGUGCGGCCAUUUGCUUUGUGGCAAGUGUAAGUUUUUGGUGUCUUACUUUGUUGGUUUCCUGAGCAAAUCUUCAUUUUACUUCGCAGGUUUGAAUCUUAUUGUGGACCGCCAGAAAGCACCAGCUAACGGUGCUGAUUUCAAGCGCAUUGCAUGUCCAACGUGCAGACAACAGACUUAUGUCUCUAAUAUAUGCUGAAGCGGCUUCUUCGAAAAUUGCUGAAAUCCUCCAGGAAGAAGAAGAGGACGAAGAAAAAUCUAUAACCGUGGCAGGGUCGUACGGAACAAAGGUAAUCUCGCUUUGUCGUCUGCUUUUUAUUUUAAUUCUUUUGCAAGUUUGAAGAUUGAAGCUGUCGUCAGAAGAAUUCUUAGUCUGAAAGAAGACGAUCCGUUUGUGACAAUUCUUGUGUUCUCGACGUGGCAAGAAGUGCUGGACUUGUUAGAACACGCACUGAAGAGCAACAAGCUCAGCUGGGUUCGAUUAAAGCAGCGCAGGUAACAUCGAUAAUCUGUUUUACUUUUACUCAUGUGCUCGUUUUGUGUUUUUCACAGACAAAUGGGUUCUUCCAUCUUGGAAUUUAAGAAGGAGAACAUCCAAGUCAUGUUACUGCCCACACAACAUGGUGCCAAUGGCCUGAACUUAAUAGAGGCCCAACACGUUAUUUUGGUGGAGCCUUUGCUCAAUCCGGCAGUAGAAGCUCAGGCUAUCAAUCGAGUCCACCGGAUUGGCCAACGUCUAAAGACACUUGUACAUAGAUUCAUUGUAAGUUACGUACGUUUCUUCUGUUUUCCAAUUACUGACGACAUUUCCAGAUACGUAACACUGUGGAGGAGAACAUCUACAAAAUGAGCCAGCAGAAGACGAACCUCCUUCCAAUGAAACAAAAAGAGCAGCCUCUUUCAGCAAAUGACAUGAACAGCUUACUAGCUUGGGACGAACUGAAAGAGAACACAUCUACUUCAAACACCCCCAGUGGUUCUACUCCUGAUACUUUCCGAGAUUUAACUCCGGCUCAAGCUGCUGCUGCUGCUGCUGAAUCGCGGCUCUUGUGACUACAGGCCAACGCUUGCCUAUAGAUUCCUUGUAAGUACUUUCUCUUGCAUGUCCGGAUUCUGAACCUUUGUAUUUUCUAGCAGAGAAGGAACAUUCUUUAAUCGAAAGAUGAGCUUUCGGUAAGUUUUUCUUUUGGCGAGGGGUUUAGCUAGCUAGCAACAGAGAUGGGUGCCAAGUUUCAGCCCCUUCCUCGCUUCUACUGGACGAAGGAACAGAUUGCUGCGAUCAGAGACCUGUGCCGUGACGACGAUCUCUACGUGAAGACGAAGUAUGGUAGGAAACUGAGGCCGCCGCCUCGUCCGCGACUAAGUCGAGAGCAGGAACGCUUUGUUCGCGCAGACCCUCAAGCAGGCUUGGAUAGAAUCAGUGGGCAGUGGGUAGCACUCCAACACCAGCUCGGGAAGAAGCCUUACACAGCCGAGGAGCAGGAAGGCAACUACGUGGGUCCGAUUCUGGGUCACAAGCAAUACAGGUGCGAGCUCCAUCUUCACAGGGGACAGAAGCAGUGGAAUGUCCAUGCAGUCGGGGACAAGUUUCUGGUCUACGAGACACUUCCUCCCGCGACCGACACCGGUGAUGAUCCUCCGGUGCUUUGUGGUCGCGACAAGUUCGUCAUUGGUCGCCCUCUGUCAGUAACAAUGGACAACCGGGCGACAAAUGUUUCCUCGUCAUGGAACUCGUUUCCAGUGUGGAGCUUGCCAGAAGAAGGCAAAGAGGGAACGAUCGGGAACUAUAUGGUGCCGAGCAGUAAGGUGGCGCUGCCGGGUUUAGUUCCAGGCAAAGGAGCGCUAGUCUUCGAUGCCUUGUACGAGACUGUGAAGGAAGGAGGAGCGAGCUGGAGCUCCGAGAUGGUUGAGAAGCUGGACAGGCUCAAGCGUGGGAUAACGCACCCCCACCAGGUCUGCGUGGUUCUCAAGAAGAUCAAGCACGACGCAUCUCUCUCGCUCAAGCUCUUUACGUGGGCCAAUACGAUCCCAGGCUUCAAGCACGACUUGGUAAACUACUCGACGAUGAUCAUGAUCUUGGGAGAUGACGGGAACUAUCUCAUGGCCGAGGCGCUUUUUGUUGAGAUACAGGAGCUCGGGCUUCGCCUUGACACGUUUGCAGUGAACAACAUGAUCCGCUGCUACACAAGAGUGAACCGGAUCCAGGAAGCUCUCGACCUCUACAGGAAGAUGCCAUACUUUGGCUGUCACCCGGACAAUUGCACCUUCGGCCUCCUCAUCGACUGGUGCGGCAAGUUCGGCUCCCGGAAGGAGCUCCAACGGAUCUUCCUCGACUUGAGAGCCUCCCCCCACAAUGCCGACGCGCAGACGUUCAACACAAUGAUCCACAACUUCUGCAAGCAGCGGGACUUCGCAAACGCCAGGGAAGCUGCCAACCAGAUGAAAGCCUGGGGGAUUCCAUUCUCCUCUGCAACGUACGCCAUCCUCAUCCACAUGUACGCCAAGGCUCGAGACUCGAAAGCAGCGGCAGAGCUCUACGCGGACUACCUCCGCUCCGGCCUAGAGCCAAACUUGAUCGUCUACAACAACGUGAUACUGAGUUACGGUUCCAGCGGCUUCCCUGGCCAUGCGCAGAACAUCCUGGGUGAUAUACGAAAGGCCGGCCUCGCUCCAGAUCGAUUCACGUACUGCACGCUCAUAAGUUCGUGGGCGAGAGCCGGAGCUAUGCUGCAAGCCCGGCGAUGGUUCAACAAAGCCUGCAAGACGAAGGCCGGUCCAAGCAUCGAGAUGUGCAACGCGCUCAUCGAUGGCUACCUCAAGGCCCGAGAAGUGGAACCGGCUAAGUUCAUCCUCACCAAAGUCAUGCCGGAGAGAGGCAUGGAGCCGACGCUGCAAACGUACACGAUCCUCCUGGGCCACUACACGAGCAGCGUCAAGGUGGCGGACUCGAGAGCAGUGAGAGAGAUGAUGAAGUCGUCCUCGAAACCAGCAGCAGCAGCAGCAGGAGGAGGAGGAGGAGGAGGAGAUGAUCAUCCCGGCGUGGACGAGUUCCUGAACGAGAUCCUGCAAGGCCUCCGCGCGAUCAAGGAGCUCAAGAGCUACUCGAGGGAGUUUUUCCGCAAGCUGAGGAUGGACAAGCCUCCUCGCUGGGGGCGAUGGCUGGCGGAUGCUCUCGUCAACCAUCUCCACUGCUUUGGCUACGCUCGCGAGGCCUUCUACGUGUGGGAGGGUGUCUCCUCCACAGAGCUCUACCCGAGAGGGAUCUGGGAGGACUGGCAGGGAGCGUGGUUUAUCUGGCUCCAGGAUAUGAGCUCCGGGACUGCGAUGGUGGCGCUCACCAGUGGAUUGAUCGUGUCCAGGCGGAAGCUCGCGCGGGGAUUCGAUAGGCCGGAGCGAGUGAUCAUCGUGUGUGGCUAAGAGCAAGGAGGUGACCCAUGCGGUGAACAGGACGCUGGUGGCUCUAGACUCGCCGUUUGAGCCUUUCAUCUCUAUGGGGAGAUUUAUGUGCGAGGGGAACUUGUUUAGAGACUGGCUGUGGGAGAAGCAAGUUGCUAUAGAGCUCACCAUGGAUGCUUAUAUGUAAUUAGCGCAUUAGUGGGAUGGUAAAAAGGACCAAGAUUCGUUGGAUCUAGCCUUUUGCUUUGCUUUAUUUUUUCUUAAGUUCAGGUAUUUAGGAUUUUUCUUAGGCUGCAAAUUAGCACAUGGAUGUGAUAAGGCAAGAGCGAGCCAUAUGUUGUUUCAACUCAGAGGAAGCUGAUGAGCUGGUUAUGCAUGAUUUGUCUCUGUGGAGAUCUAUAACAUGGAAUACUGGGAAAGUAACCAUUAUGCCUAGGUAAAGUUUGUUUGGAACUUCUUCAUAAGUGCAAGAUUACAAAGAGAUUGCAGACAACAAGUCUCGUUGUCAAACUUUACAUAUGUAAUAUAUAUACAUUAUUUAAACAACCAUGCCCAGAGCUGUUUAUUUUAUAUAAAUACAGCAUCAUCUUCUAGGCAAGCUGGAGUAGAUCAUCCUCCUUGACGCACAGCUGGUGCCCCUGACGGUUGUAGAGCUUGCAACCUUCCUUGAGUGGCUUCCUGCAAGUGUGGCAAGAGUUGAAGUCGAGCGCAACACUUUUUGGACCUGGGCAGACAUAGGAAGCAGAGCCACAUUUGAACGUGCAAGUUUUAUCAGGUCCUGAGACGCAUAUCGAUUUGCCAUGCCCCAAGUCCAAGCAACCUUGAGGAAUGCUGCAACAAGUAGCGCAGCUGCCUGGCGUCCAAGGAUGGACAGUGCCUCCACAAAUCUCCACGGCAUCCUUCAAGCAGGAGUUGUCAUCACCAUUUGGCAGUGGUGCACCAGUCUUUAAAUUGUAGAGAUGACAGCCAUUCGAAGGCUCCUUACCCGGUGGGAGCACAGAAAUUGGAAUUUGGUUAGUCCAUCGGGAUGGGCAGACUUUGAUUUUUGGUGGAAGACAAAUUGGGUGGCAAGGACGAAAAGGGGCGGUGCCACCAAGACAAACUGGACUGCCAGUUCCAGGCUCGAGAUAUAUGCAUCCAGCCUCAAGCGUACAGCAAUUGGAGCAUGCGUCCAGAGUGACAACAGCAUCACUACAAACCUGGAGACGAUGGCCGCUGGCUGCAAAAUCAUCUUGACAAGGCAUUCAAGAAGUCAGUCCUGAAAGAAAGAAUCAAAACUUGGAGAUCAACCUGCAGAUAUCAGAAGUAGCUGAAAGCUUAGGAUAGUGAGGAACAAGAAUGAAGCUGCCAUGUUGUUGUGGUGCUGAACCUCGGGCUGUUUGAAUUUAUAGUCACACAGUGGCAUGCGAUCGAUCUCUACAAAAAUCUCACGUUUUUUCCGGACUUGAAAGUUGCGUAUGGAUUGUACUGAUCGGGGGCCACCUAGCCUGGCUCUCUGUGGUGAAACAAAUCAUAUACUUCCAGAGAGGUGUCCCAUCAGUAGUUUGAUCGGUGAGGUCCGAUGUGGCGCCCUUAUUAGGGCGACGUGGCCGGAAAUACAAAGGAUUGCAUGCCACGUCAUAAUAGACGAGGUUAGCGAAGCGGCCAUGGCGGGGCUGCUCGGCCAUGGCGGUUCUUUCAACGUGGCCAGGCUGGGAGCACUAGGGUAGCAGCUCACAGCGCUGUCACAGCAAUGUGCUAUCCGAUCGAUCGAUCUGGGUCUCGGGUUUAGUUUCUAGAGGUUUCCGGCUUCUCCACAGCUAGUGGUUUCGUCCUCCGGCCUAUGGCACCGCUAGAAAAUCCUCCAAACCUUGAAGAACAGAUCGAGAUUUAGGAGCAGCGAGAGAUUGCACGAAAGAUCUUGCGUUGGGAGCUCGACCGCAAUUCUGCCUAGCUGCUCUAUCGAAGAUUUGCAAGUCGAGCGUUCAAACAGAGUGCUCAAGAGAUUGAGCUCCGUCCAUAAAUUCAAUCCUUUCUGGGCUCCGACCAAUGUGAUGCCGCGAUUCAAAUUUCUGGCGCUUGGUGCCUCAACAUGGGUAAUACCAUACGUAUUGAAAUAUCACAUAUUGAAUGAUUUUGGAACAGCUCAUGCACAACAAGGGAACUCUUUUGAUUAUAUAUACAUAUUUGUGCAGUUGGAGGCAUUUAUACAAUAUACAAAUUGAUUUCCUUGGAUUUCUUGUCUUUGGUCUAGUAAAAUUCAACAUUGGCAAAAGAGAACUCCAAGAUUAAAAUCAGGACACCAUUUGCAUCCAUUGCAUUGUGGUUUAAUGCAUCUAGUUGUUGGGUGGUACAUGUAUACUUAUUCUUUCAAAGCUAGAAAAAAAAUUUCAUUUGCUACAUGCAAUCUAAACCCUAAACCCUAAACCUUAAAUAGACACGUGAAAAAAGGGUGGCAACCCUUCAAUUUUGAUUUUAAUGAUGCUCCAAUAAGCCAUUUAUCUCUAUGGGGAGAUUUAUGUGCGAGGGGAACUUGUUUAGAGACUGGCUGUGGGAGAAGCAAGUUGCUAUAGAGCUCACCAUGGAUGCUUAGAAUUAAUAUGUAAUUAGUGCAUUAAUGGAAGGGUAAAAAGGACAAAGAUUCGUUGGAUCUAACCUUUUGCUUUGCUUUAUUUUUUCUUCAAGUUCAGGUAUUUAGAAAUUUUCUUAGGCUGCAAAUUAGCACGCCAUAUGUUGUUUCAACUCAGAGGAAGCUGAUGAGCUGAACACCAAUGCAUUGUGAUGUAUGAUUUGGCUCUGCGGAGAUCUAUAACAUAGAAUAUUGGGAAAGUAAACAUUAUGCCUAGGUAAAGUUUGUUUGGAACUUCUUUGUAAGUGCAAGAUUACAAGACAACAAGUUGCGUUGUCAAACUUUAUAUAUAUAAUAUAUAUAUAUACAUUUCAAGUACCCGUUAUUUAAACAACGAUGCCCAGAGCUGUUUAUUUUAUAAAUACUGCAUCAUCUUCUAGGCAAGCUGGAGUAGAUCAUCCUCCUUGACGCACAGCUGGUGCCCCCGACGGUUGUAGAGCUUGCAACCUUCCCUGAGUGGCUUCUUGCAAGUGUGGCAAGAGUUGAAGUCGAGCGCAACACUUUUUGGACCUGGGCAGACAUAGGAAGCAAACCCACAUUCGAGCGUGCAGGCUUUACCAGGUCCUGAGACGCAUACUGAUUUGCCAUGCCCCAAGUCCAUGCAACCUUGAGGAAUGGUGCAACAAGUAGCGCAGCUGCCUGGCUUCCAAGGAUGGACAGUGCCUCCACAAAUCUCCACGGCAUCCUUCAAGCAGGAGUUGUCAUCACCAUUUGGCAGUGGUGCACCAGUCUUUAAAUUGUAGAGAUGACAGCCAUUCGAAGGCUCCUUAUCCGGUGGGAGCACAGAAAUUGGAAUUCGGUUAGUUCCUCGGGAUGGGCAGACUUUGAUUUUUGGUGGAUGACAAAUUAAGGGGCAAGGACGAAAAGGGGAGGUGCCACCAAGACAAACUGGACUGCCAGUUCCAGGCUCGAGAUAUAUGCAUCCAGCCUCAAGCGCACAGCAACUGGAGCAUCCGUCGAGAGUGACAACAGCAUCACUACAAACCUGGAGACGAUGGCUGCUGGCUGCAAAAUCAUCUUGACAAGGCAUUCAAGAAGUCAGUCCUGAAAGAAAGAAUCAAAACUUGGAGAUCAACCUGCAGAUAUCAGAAGUAGCUGAAAGCUUAGGAUAGUGAGGAACAAGAAUGAAGCUGCCAUGUUGUUGUGGUGCUGAACCUCGGGCUGUUUGGAUUUAUAGUCACACAUAGUCCUGUCUAUUUGAUGACUUGGCAUCCGAUCGAUCUCUACAAAAAUCUCACGUUUUUUCCGGACUUGAAAGUUGCGUAUGGAUUGUACUGAUCGGGGGCUAGCCUGACUGUCUCUGUGGUGAUGUCCCAUCAAGGUCCGAUGUGGCGCCCUAAUUAGGGCGACGUGCUGGAAUACAAUUUCCACGUUGGUUAGCGGCAUGCCACGUCAUAAUAGACGAGGUUAGCGAAGCGGCCAUGGCGGGGCUGCUCGGCCAUGGCGCUUCUUUCAACGUGGCCACUAGGGUAGCAGCUCACAGCGCUGCCGCAGCAAUGUGCUAUCCGAUCGAUCGAUCUUGGUCUCGGGUUUAGCUUCUAGAGGCUUCCGGCUUCUCCACAGCUAGUGGUUUCUUCCUCCGGCCUAUGGCACCGCUAGAAAAUCCUCCAAACUGACUCAGCCCAGAUUUAGGAGCAGCAAGAGAUUGCACGAAAGAUCUUGCGUUGGGAGCUCGACCGCAAUUCUGCCUAGCUGCUCUAUCGAAGAUUUGCAAGUCGAGCGUUCAAACAGAGUGCUCAAGAGAUUGAGCUCCGUCCAUAAAUUCAAUCCUUUCUGGGCUCCGACCAAUGUGAUGCCGCGAUUCAAAUUUCUGGCGCUUGGUGCCUCAACAUGGGUAAUACCAUACGUAUUGAAAUAUCACAUAUUGAAUGAUUUUGGAACAGCUUAUGCACAACAAGGGAACUCUUUUGAUUAUAUAUACACAUUUGUGGGCUCAGCUGGAGGCAUUUACAAUAUACAAAUUGAUUUCCUUGUCCGGAUUUUAAUCUUGGAGUCCCUCUCUUUUGCCAAUGUGAAAAUUACUUUUGCCUGUUGAACUUUACUAGACCAAAGACAAGAAAUCCAUUUGCAUCCAUUGCAUUGUGGUUUAAUGCAUCUAGUUGUUGGGUGCUACAUGUAUACUUAUUCUUUCAAAGCCUAGAAAAAAAAAAAUCAUUUGCUGCAUGUGAUUAAUCCUUUAUCUUUUUUCUAGAAUAAACCCUAAACCCUAAAUAGACAGAACCAUGUGAAAAAAGGGCUUCAAUUUUGAUUUUAAUGAUGAGAAAAUUGCAUGCAGUAACAACUGGAUCAAUCAAGUGGAUGAGAUCAAAAUCUUCAAAUUCUAUAAUAAGUCAAAACAUGAAACUCAUGAGGUAUUGUCUUUUAGUAUUUAUUUCCAAAGGCAAUUACUGAAAGGCAAAAAAUUGAUGCCCUUUUGGCCCUUUUUGAGCCAUUUUACAUGGGUGUUUUUUAAAAAUGCCCUUUAAAUGUUGGGCAAAAGUGCAUAUAGCUUUUUUUGUUCAAGGGCAAUAAAAUAAAAUAUUCUUUCAAAAUAAUUUUUUCUCUUUCUUAAUGGACAAUGAAUAUUUUGAAUUAAAUGAACAAGGAGUUGACAGUGUUUCUCUCAAUGACAUUUUCUCUCAAUUAAUUAGAAUUUGGUUUGCAUGUCAUAGUUGUCUUGUUUAGAGCAUAGUUUUACAGAAGAAAAUGGAAGGGCAACAACACUCAUCAUCUAGUUCUUAUACUAUACAUUCAAUCUUUUUUAUUUCCAUGCAUUUAAUUUAUAGAUCUUAGGAAAAAAGUACAUUCUUUCUUCCCUUUCUAGGUCCCCAUUCAUGAUUGUCCAUAUCUGCGGUAGAAUCCAGUGCGGGAUUGAUUGCUCAGGCUCUUUAGCCCGGGAUUUCUUGGACUGGAUGGCUUCACCUCUCUUGCAAUACCAUUGAUGCAUGAGUGCGUGGAAGCAAAUGUUCCAGCGGUGCUGUCUGCAUGAUCGUCGUAUUGGAGGGCUUCGUUCUCAUCCACAGCUGAGAAUCUGGGGAGGCAGGGCAGAUCGAGCUCCCACAGCUCCAGAAAAUUGGUAAGAUAUCUUCUAACUUAUCAAUCGACGUGCAAAACUCAUGAAGCUCCUCUUGCAGGAAGGAACAAGCCGAGCUUCCACUAUCUCGCCGCCGAAUCCACAGCCCUCCAAUACGUUCUUCUUUUAAACUGGGAACUGACAAAGUUUCUAUCCAGUUCUUAGUUCCAGACGCUAGACUUCGAUGCAAUGAAAGAGAGAAGAGAGAAUCUGGACAGUCUUAAGCCCAAGAUCGUUGACAUGGUUGUCAAGAAGAUGAAGCAUGACACAUAUCUCUCGCUCGAUUUCUUUACGCUGGCCAUGAGAAUCUCCAGCUUCCGGCACGACGUGGUGAUGGUCAUGAUCCUUGGAGUCGAUGGCAACUAUCUCAUGGUGAUCACAGACAUGCCCCGUGGAAACGAUCUCUAUGUGAAGACGAGGAAGCUGUGGCCGCCACAUCGUCCGAGACAGCAGAAAGACCCCCAAGUAGGCUUGGAUAGAUUCAGCAUGGUAGCAGUCCAACACCAGCUCGGGAGGAAGACUUAAACAGCCUACAAGAAGGAAAGCAACUCCGUGGAUCUGAUCAUGAGUCACAAGCAGUACAGGCAGGAGCUCCACCUUCACAGCAGGAAGGAGUGGAACGUCCAUGCAGUCAGGGACAAGUUUCUGGUCUACGAGACACUUCCUCACGUGAGCGACACCAGUGAUGAUCCUUUGGUGCUUUGCAGUCAUGACAAGAUCGUCAUUGUUCGGCCCUUGUCAGUAACAGUGGACAACCGGGCAAAGAAUGUCUCGUGGAACUCGUUGGGCUUGCGGGAAUGCAAAGAAGAAACGGAGAACUAUACGGUGCCGAGCAGUAAGGAGAGUCAGUCGGGUUUAGUUCCAGGCAAAGGAUGAAGGAAGGAGGAGGGAUUUGCAUGGCUUGCUUAGAUUCUUACAAGCAGAGCCGUUUGACAAUCAUACUUGGUGGCAGCAAAGCUAUAAAACAUCCUUGCGAGGUACUAUGUGUUUUUUCCUUUUUAUUGUAAGUAACACUCGUUGCUCUCCAGGAAGGAAAAAUGGGAGCAGUUGACUUUGCUCAUUCCUUUUUCCGUGAGAUUAUGUGGCGGUCUAUGAAGAUCGAUGUCAUAGACCAGCUAGAUAUUCCUCCUCAAGAAGAGCGAAUUACAUGGCUCAAGUUUUCGGGUGUUGAGAACCACUUUUAUAGGCAACAACACGAGCAAUGCGUGAAGAGAGCCAGAGAAGCUAUUGAGAAGUACUCAUUAGGUGCUGGUCGACCUCUAAAUCAUAUGAAUACCUCAAAGUUAAUGAACCCCUUGUUGAAGCUGCGACAAGCUUGUUGCCAUCCUCAAGUGGGGAGUUCGGGAGUACGCUCGUUGCAGGCAUCACCACGCUCAUUGCAGGCCGAUGGAUGAAGUCUUGGAGGUAAGGAACCUUGGUAUUAGAGUCUUCAGGUCCUAAUUGAAAAAGCUAAAACUGAAGGAGAAGAAGCUCAACGAGAUCUUGUUGAUUCGUUGAACGGACUGGAAGGUCUGGCGAUUAUCGAGGAAAACAUCCCCAUGGCUGUCUCCAUUGACCGAGAAGCACUAGCAGCCGCGGAGGAAAAUGCGACUAAUUUUGAAGUUGAUCCGCUUCAGAAAGUCCAUAUUUUACACAAUUUGGAAGAGUCACUCAGAAACUGCAAGGAUGACGCAUUGAGCAAAAUUCCAAGAACUCUGAGGGAUGAUAUGCUGAUCAGUCAAUGCGACGAAUUACGAAGGAAGUACGUCAGUGGCCAGUAUGCAAAUCUUGCUGCGGCUCAGCACGCUGCACACAAAGAAGUAUUAUUGAUUUCUUUUCAAAAAAGCCCUUCUUUAUCCUGCAGAUCAGUCUGAUGAUAAAUCUUCAAGAUGGAGCCACUGGUGGCUAGAUGCUUUUGCAUGGGUUCAAACAUCGAGCAAACGAAGUGACCACCUAUUGGAACGAAUAAAGCACGGGCUGGAAGAUGUAAAUCGUGCUGGUGGUCGGAAUGUUUCUAGUCUUUAUCUUUCUUGGAAGGUACUCUACUGAGCAUGUAGAUACCACGACCUUAACGGCCUCAAGUUCUUACUAAGCCAGGAGUUGGAUACUCUCCAUGAGACUCGUGACCACGUUCUGAGCCGCUUAGUUGAAGUGGAUGGCGGGAUGCAGAAUCCGAAUCCCGAUUAUGUGCAGCGCGCUGGACAAUGUUCCCAGUGCCAGCCUAGACACACUGGGAUAAUUGUGCUCAUUGUGCGAUUGAUCUCAUGUUUCAGGUACAAUCUGCUUCUGUGGUUUCUGACAUUGUCAGUGUGGAUAAACAGAAAUAUGCAAAUAGGCUAUUUUACUUGACGUCCCGAGCAGCUGAAUUAGAUGGCAUUGUUACUGCAGAAGACGCCUUUGUUUCUCAAGUAUGUUCACUGGAUAAGGGAAACAAGGAAACUGAGACGAACACAGGCAGGAGAAAAGGAGCAGCAGUAGCUGCGGUAAGGCAACUUCUUUUUGUUUUUUAAACUUUUUUCUUUUGUUUUUCUUUGCUUCGAGCUUAAAUAUUUCUUUUCACAAGUUACGCACAGAUGUUCUGAAACGGAAAUGGUUUUAAAAAUUUUACUUGCAUACAUGAAAGCGGAAACGAACCACCUUGAAGUAAACACUCCUGUGCUUAUUUGUAAGUCUUUGACAAACCAUGUCAAUUCAGGCAUUGCGUAGCGAAUAUGCAGCGGCGAGACGCUUGACAAUAGCACAACAAUUAGUUCUAACUGAAUUGGACGAGCUGAGCAUGUCGACAACAAGGCUAUGUUUGCAAGGUGCCAAGGCUGCAGACGGCAAUCCUUUUGGUGAUGAAGGCUACGAGAUAGCAAUUAGAAACGCGGAGCUUACCAACGAAAAAUUUGUUGCUGUUGAGAAUCUAUCUCGUGUGAAGAGGCAGCUCAGAUACUUGAAGGUAUUAGGCUUAAGUUUUCUUCUAUUCGCAGCUCCUCUCAUUUCCGGAUUGCAGGGUCUAAGGAAUAAGAAGGACGAGGGGCAUAACAGUUUGGAAGGAGAAAUUUGCCCAGUUUGCCACGAUGGCAUAGAAUCUGGAGCAAUGGUCCUUCCAUGCGGCCAUUUGCUUUGUGGCAAGUGUAAGUUUUUGGUGUCUUACUUUGUUGGUUUCCUGAGCAAAUCUUCAUUUUAUUUCGCAGGUUUGAAUCUUAUUGUGGACCGCCAGAAAGCACCAGCUAACGGUGCUGAUUUCAAGCGCAUUGCAUGUCCAACGUAGCAGACUUAUGUCUCUAAUAUUGCUUGUGCCAAUGCUGAAGCGGCUUCUUCGAAAAUUGCGGAAAUCCUCCAGGAAGAAGAAGAGGACGAAGAAAAAUCUAUAACCGUGGCAGGGUCGUACGGAACAUAGGUAAUCUGGCUUUGUCGUCUUUUUAAUUUAAUUCUUUUGCAACUUUGAAGAUUGAAGCUGUCGUCAGGAGAAUUCUUAGUCCCGAUCCGUUUGUGAAAAUUCUUGUGUUCUCGACGUGGAAAGAAGUGCUGGACUUGUUAAAACACGCACUGAAGAGCAACAAGCUCAGCUGGGUUCGACUAAAGCCUCUCAGGUAAUAUCGAUAAUCUGUUUUACUCUUACUCAUGUGCUCGUUUUGUGUUUUUCACAGACAAAUGGGUUCUUCCAUCUUGGAAUUUAAGGAGAACAUCCAAGUCAUGUUACUGCCCACACAACAUGGUGCCAAUGGCCUGAACUUAAUAGAGAACACGUUAUUUUGGUGGAGCCUUUGCUCACUCCGGCAGUAGAAGCUCAGGCUAUCAAUCUAGUCCACCGGAUUGGCCAACGUCUUAAGUCACUUGUACAUAGAUUCAUUGUAAGUUACGUACGUUUCUUCUGUUUUCCAAUUACUGACGACAUUUCCAGAUAUGUAACACUGUGGAGGAGAACAUCUACAAAAUGAACCAGCAGAAGACGAACCUCCUUCCAAUGAAGCAAAAAGAGCAGCCUCUAUCAGCGAAUGACAUGAACAGUUUACUAGCUUGGGACGAACCGAAAGAGAACACAGCUACUUCAAACACAGUGGUUCUACUCCUGAUACUUUCCGAGAUUUAACUCCGGCUCAAGCUGCUGCUGCUGCUGCUGAAUCGCGGCUCUUGCGACUACAGGCCAACGCUUGUCUAUAGAUUCUUUGUAAGUACUUUCUGUUGCAUGUCCGGAUUCUGAACCUUCGUAUUUUCUGGCAGAGAAGGAACAUUCUUUAGUCAAAAGAUGAGCUUUCGGUAAGUUUUUCUGUUGGCGAGGGGUUUAGCUAGCUAGCAACAGAGAUGGGUGCCAAGUUUCAGCCCCUUCCUCGCUUCUACUGGACGAAGGCUGCGAUCAGAGACCUGUGCCGGGACGACGAUCUCUACGUGAAGACGUAGUAUGGUAGGAAGUUGAGGCCGCCGCCUCGUCCGCGACUAAGUCGAGAGCAGGAACGCUUUGUUCACACAGACCCUCAAGCAGGCUUGGAUAGAAUCAGUGGGCAGUGGGUAGCACUCCAACACCAGCUCGGGAAGAAGCAGGAAGGCACCUACAUGGGUCCGAUUCUGGGUCACAAGCAAUACAGGUGCGAGCUCCAUCUUCACAGGGGACAGAAGCAAUGGAAUGUCCAUGCAGUCGGGGACAAGUUUCUGGUCUACGAGACACUUCCUCCUGCGACCGACACCGGUGAUGAUCCUCCGGUGCUUUGUGGUCGCGACAAGUUCGUCAUUGGUCGGCCUCUGUCACUAGACAACCGGGCGACGAAUGUUUCCUCGUCGUGGAACUCGUUUCCAGUGUGGAGCUUGCCAAAAGAAGGCAAGGAGGGAACGAUCGCUCUGCCGGGGAACUAUAUGGUGCCGAGCAGUAAGGUGGCGCUGCCGGGUUUAGUUCCAGGCAGAGGAGCGCUAGUCUUCGAUGCCUUGUACGAGACUGUGAAGGAAGGAGGAGUGAGCUGGAGCUCCGAGAUGGUUGAGAAGCUGGACAGGCUCAAGCAUGGGAUAAUGCACCCCCACCAGGUCUGCGUGGUUCUCAAGAAGAUCAAGCACGACGCAUCUCUCUCGCUCAAGCUCUUUACGUGGGCCAAGACGAUCCCAGGCUUCAAGCACGACUUGGUAAACUACUCGACGAUGAUCAUGAUCUUGGGAGAUGACGGGAACUAUCUCAUGGCCGAGGCACUUUUUGUUGAGAUCCAGGAGCUCGGGCUUCGCCUUGACACGUUUGCAGUGAACAACAUGAUCCGCUGCUACACAAGAGUGAACCGGAUCCAGGAAGCUCUCGACCUCUACAGUAAGAUGCCAUACUUUGGCUGUCACCCGGACAAUUGCACCUUCGGCCUCCUCAUCGACUGGUGCGGCAAGUUCGGCUCCCGGAAGGAGCUCCAACGGAUCUUCCUCGACUUGAGAGCCUCCCCCCGCAAUGCCGACGCGCAGACGUUCAACACAAUGAUCCACAACUUCUGCAAGCAGCGGGACUUCACAAACGCCAGGGAAGCCGCCAACCAGAUGAAAGCCUGGGUACGCCAUCCUCAUCCACAUGUACGCCAAGGCUCGAGACUCGAAAGCAGCGGCAGAGCUCUACGCGGACUACCUCCGCUCCGGCCUAGAGCCAAACUUGAUCGUCUACAACAACGUGAUACUGAGUUACGGUUCCAGCGGCUUCUCUGGCCAUGCGCAGAACAUCCUGGGUGAUAUACGAAAGGCCGGCCUCGCUCCAGAUCGAUUCACGUACUGCACGCUCAUAAGUUCGUGGGCGAGAGCCGGAGCUAUGCUGCAAGCCCGGCGAUGGUUCAACAAAGCCUGCAAGACGAAGGCCGGUCCAAGCAUCGAGAUGUGCAACGCGCUCAUCGAUGGCUACCUCAAGGCCCGAGAAGUGGAACCGGCCAAGUUCAUCCUCACCAAAGUCAUGCCGGAGAGAGGCGUGGAGCCGACGCUGCAAACGUACACGAUCCUCCUGGGUCACUACACGAGCAGCGUCAAGGUGGCGGACUCGAGAGCGGUGAGAGAGAUGAUGAAGUCGUCCUCGAAACCAGCAGCAACAGCAGCAGCAGGAGGAGGAGGAGGAGAUGAUCAUCCCAGCGUGGACGAGUUCCUGAACGAGAUCUUGCAAGGCCUCCGCGCGAUCAAGGAGCUCAAGAGCUACUCGAGGGAGUUUUUCCGCAAGCUGAGGAUGGACAAGCCUCCUCGCUGGGGGCGAUGGCUGGCGGAUGCUCUCGUCAACCAUCUCCACUGCUUUGGCUACGCUCGCGAGGCCUUCUACGUGUGGGAGGGGGUCUCCUCCACAGAGCUCUACCCGAGAGGGAUCUGGGAGGACUGGCAGGGAGCGUGGUUUAUCUGGCUUGAGCUCCGGGACUGCGAUGGUGGCGCUCACCAGUGGAUUGAUCGUGUCCAGGCGGAAGCUCGCGCGGGGAUUCGAGAGGCCGGAGCGAGUGAUCAUCGUGUGUGGCUACGCGUCGGACAAGAGCAAGGAGGUGACCCAUGCGGUGAACAGGACGCUGGUGGCUCUAGACUCGCCGUUUGAGCCUUUUAUCUCUAUGGGGAGAUUUAUGUGCGAGGGGAACUUGUUUAGAGACUGGCUGUGGGAGAAGCAAGUUGCUAUGGAUGCUUAGAAUUAAUAUGUAAUUAGCACAUUAAUGGAAGGGUAAAAAGGACAAAGAUUCGUUGGAUCUAACGUUUUGAUUUUGUUUAUUUUUUCUUUAAGUUCAGGUAUUUAGGAAUUUUCUUAAAUUAGCACAUGGAUGUGAUAAGGCAAGAGCGAGCCAUAUGUUGUUUCAACUCAGAGGAAGCUGAUGAGCUGAACACCAAUGCAUUGUGAUGUAUGAUUUGGUUCUGCGGAGAUCUAUAACAUAGACUAUUGGGAAAGUAAACAUUAUGCCUAGGUAAAGUUUGUUUGGAACUUCUUUGUAAGUGCAAGAUUACAAAGACAACAAGUUGCGUUGUCAAACUUUAUAUAUAUAAUAUAUAUAUACAUUUCAAGUACCCAUUAUUUAAACAACGAUGCCCAGAGCUGUUUAUUUUAUAUAAAUACAGCAUCAUCUUCUAGGCAAGCUGGAGUAGAUCAUCCUCCUUGACGCACAGCUGGUGCCCCUGACGGUUGUAGAGCUUGCAACCUUCCUUGAGUGGCUUCUUGCAAGUGUGGCAAGAGUUGAAGUCGAGCGCAACACUUUUUGGACCUGGGCAGACAUAGGAAACAAAACCACAUUCGCGCGUGCAGACUUUACCAGGUCCUGAGACGCAUAUUGAUUUGCCAUGCCCCAAGUCCAAGCAACCUUGAGGAAUGGUGCAACAAGUAGCGCAGCUGCCUGGCGUCCAAGGAUGGACAGUGCCUCCACAAAUCUCCACGGCAUCCUUCAAGCAGGACUUGUCAUCACCAUUUACUGGCAGUGGUGCACCAGUCUUUAAAUUGUAGAGAUGACAGCCAUUCGAAGGCUCCUUAUCCGGUGGGAGCACAGAAAUUGGAAUUCGGUUAGUCCCUCGGGAUGGGCAGACUUUGAUUUUUGGUGGUUCACAAAUUAAGGGGCAAAGACGAGAAGCAGAGGUGCCACCAAGACAAACUGGACUGCCAGUUCCAGGCUCUAGAUAUAUGCAUCCAGCCUUAAGCGCACAGCAAUUGGAGCAUUCGUCCAGAGUGACAACAG